CCUGUGAGCCGCCUUUGAGUUUACUUUUCUGGGACGCUGAAGCGCAGGUGUUCCCGUCGGAGAAGCUUUCGUUCUCGCUGUCGGCUGAACUGUCCUCCCUGUCACUGCACGCGGCCUCCGCUGAUUUCAGGGGCCGAUGGCAUCGAGUCGUGAGGGCGGAGAGGCAGAUGUUUUGGCCCUCUUGUGAGAGAGAGGCUUUUCUAUUCUGUUGGGAGAAAGAGUGAAUCUGGCCGACAAUUAUCCCUAAGAGGGAGAUUUAACUGAUGAAAUGACGUUUGAAUGUAGAGAUCUGUGUGAACUCUUACUGAUCGUUUUGGGGGGAAUUACAAAAUAUGGCUGUGUGUGUGUGUGUGUGUGUGUGUGAUUUUUCUAGAUUUAAAAAAUAAGAAAUAUCCACAUUUAGAAAAAACAAAAAACAAGUUCUUAGAAAUGUAAUCUUUAUAUAGUAACUUUUACUUUCAUACUUUUUAAAAGAAAAUACAUAAAAAAAUAAAAGUCAAAACGUC
Molecule: long non-coding RNA, 506 nt
Organism: Carassius gibelio (silver crucian carp)
Lineage: Eukaryota; Metazoa; Chordata; Actinopteri; Cypriniformes; Cyprinidae
Exons: 2
Source: RefSeq, a predicted model, not a curated record